UACAUGUGGGGCAAGCGUUGUUCGGAAUUACUGGGCAUAAAGCGCACGUAGGUGGUCCGCUAAGUCGCGUGUGAAAUCCCCCGGCUCAACCGGGGAAAUGCGCGUGAUACUGGCGGGCUUGAGAUCGGGAGGGGUGAAUGGAACUCCAGGUGGAGCGGUGAAAUGCGUAGAUAUCUGGAGGAACACCGGUGGCGAAAGCGGUUCACUGGCCCGACACUGACACUGAGGUGCGAAAGCUAGGGUAGCAAACGGG
Molecule: ribosomal RNA, 253 nt
Filed under: uncultured bacterium
Lineage: Bacteria
Description: partial 16S ribosomal RNA
Rfam family: Bacterial small subunit ribosomal RNA
Source: RNAcentral